CGGCGGGCGGGUGAGUAACGCGUGGGUAACCUGCCUCAUACAGGGGGAUAACAGUUGGAAACGGCUGCUAAUACCGCAUAAGCGCACAGUACCGCAUGGUACGGUGUGAAAAACUCCGGUGGUAUGAGAUGGACCCGCGUCUGAUUAGGUAGUUGGUGGGGUAACGGCCUACCAAGCCGACGAUCAGUAGCCGACCUGAGAGGGUGACCGGCCACAUUGGGACUGAGACACGGCCCAA
This 238-nucleotide ribosomal RNA is filed under the name uncultured bacterium. RNAcentral describes it as "partial 16S ribosomal RNA". It matches the Rfam family "Bacterial small subunit ribosomal RNA", at positions 96 to 334 of the family's 1533-position model. The record is from RNAcentral.